GUUGACCUCGGAUCAGGUAGGAAUACCCGCUGAACUUAAGCAUAUCAAUAAGCGGAGGAAAAGAAACCAACAGGGAUUGCCCCAGUAACGGCGAGUGAAGCGGCAACAGCUCAAAUUUGAAAUCUNGCCCCCNG
Molecule: ribosomal RNA, 134 nt
Filed under: Ophiocordyceps sinensis
Lineage: Eukaryota; Fungi; Ascomycota; Sordariomycetes; Hypocreales; Ophiocordycipitaceae
Description: partial 28S rRNA
Rfam family: Eukaryotic large subunit ribosomal RNA
Source: RNAcentral